This 450-nucleotide ribosomal RNA is filed under the name uncultured bacterium. RNAcentral describes it as "bacterial SSU rRNA". It matches the Rfam family "Bacterial small subunit ribosomal RNA", at positions 354 to 796 of the family's 1533-position model. The record is from RNAcentral.
GUGGGGAAUAUUGGACAAUGGGCGAAAGCCUGAUCCAGCCAUGCCGCGUGUGUGAAGAAGGUCUUCGGAUUGUAAAGCACUUUAAGUUGGGAGGAAGGGCAGUAAGUUAAUACCUUGCUGUUUUGACGUUACCGACAGAAUAAGCACCGGCUAACUUCGUGCCAGCAGCCGCGGUAAUACGAAGGGUGCAAGCGUUAAUCGGAAUUACUGGGCGUAAAGCGCGCGUAGGUGGUUUUGUAAGUUGGAGGUGAAAUCCCCGGUCUCAACCUGGAAACUGCCUCCAAAACUGCAUGACUAGAGUACGGUAGAGGGUAGUGGAAUUUCCUGUGUAGCGGUGAAAUGCGUAGAUAUAGGAAGGAACACCAGUGGCGAAGGCGACUACCUGGACUGAUACUGACACUGAGGUGCGAAAGCGUGGGGAGCAAACAGGAUUAGAAACCCGGGUAGUCC